GCUCGCCUAGCUCAGUUGGAUAGAGCGUCGUGCUAAUAACGCGAAUGUCGCAGGUUCAAUUCCUGCGGUGAGCA
Molecule: transfer RNA, 74 nt
Filed under: Cryptomonas curvata
Lineage: Eukaryota; Cryptophyceae; Cryptomonadales; Cryptomonadaceae
Description: tRNA-Ile
Rfam family: tRNA
About the family: Transfer RNA (tRNA) molecules are approximately 80 nucleotides in length.
Source: RNAcentral